UGUGACAGGAUCAUCAGGAUCUAUAGAUGGUGCAGCAGUGACCACUCACAUGAGAGACCCAAAUGUUUUCACAAUGACCGUGAGUGGACUAAGGUCAGAGGACAGUGGCUGGUAUUUGUGUGCUAAAGAGGACAUUGGGAGACUGACUACCUCUACCCACACUGUUGCUGGAAAUCUAACAUUUACCACAUUCGAAAAUAACCAACAUAGAUUUUGUACAGCUUCAUUUGACCCUAAGAGCCUCAU
Oreochromis niloticus (Nile tilapia) is the source of this 246-nucleotide long non-coding RNA. RefSeq lists it as uncharacterized. The transcript has 3 exons. NCBI's taxonomy places the organism in Eukaryota, Metazoa, Chordata, Actinopteri, Cichliformes, Cichlidae. The record is from RefSeq and is a predicted model, not a curated record.